This is a long non-coding RNA of Psammomys obesus (fat sand rat), 604 nucleotides long. RefSeq lists it as uncharacterized. The record is from RefSeq and is a predicted model, not a curated record. The transcript has 2 exons. NCBI's taxonomy places the organism in Eukaryota, Metazoa, Chordata, Mammalia, Rodentia, Muridae.
GCUGGCUGCCAUGGCUCAGAUCAGUGGUUUUGUGGAGUCUACAGUUCAGACCGCCGUGGUCUUCCGAACGCCUCUCUGUAGCCAUCCAGGGUGGAUGACCGUUUGUGUGAAAAGCCUGAAAGCGCUUAUGUGGACACAACCUUCCUGGAAAACGAACACUGCACGGCUGCUGUCUUCUAUUGGUCACAUGCCGGGACUUGUUUUGGUCUCUUAUGCCUGCAUUGGGUUAUCUAAUGUCUGACUACACUCAGGUUCACAGAGAAUCCCGAGACCCUCCUGCUCUCUCCUACAGUGACAGCCUCCCUCAGUCCACCGAUCCACACCUCGAGGAAGGAGAUUUAAAUGGGUGAUCUGACGGACUGGUGGCCAAAGACUCAAACUAGGGAGAAGAAACACCUCGUCCACAUCUUGGACUCAGAGGACACUUAGACCAUAGCUAAUUAUGGUUUCGAUCAGGCUGGAGAAAUGGCUUUCAAUCCCUUUUCAUCAGUCCCUUUAGUUAUAACAAUGUUCUCUGACAAAGCAGACACAACAAAUUCAGAAUAUUUAAAUAUCACAAACUACAUUAAGAAAUAAUAAAAAAAUGUUUUUCUGUGUCAUUGAG